GUCCGCACGAGCGCNACCCCUUAUCCUUAGUUGCCAGCACGUAAUGGUGGGAACUCUAAGGANACUGCCGGUGACAAACCGGAGGAAGGUGGGGACGACGUCAAGUCAUCAUGGCCCUUACGAGAUGGGCUACACACGUGCUACAAUGGCAAGUACAAAGGGUUGCAAACUCGCGAGAGUAAGCGGAUCCCAUAAAGCUUGUCGUAGUCCGGAUUGGAGUCUGCAACUCGACUCCAUGAAGUCGGAAUCGCUAGUAAUCGUGGAUCAGAAUGCCACGGUGAAUACGUUCCCGGGCCUUGUACACACCGCCCGUCACACCAUGGGAGUGGGCUGCAAAAGAAGUGGAUAGCUUAACCUUCGGGAGGGCGUUCACCACUUUGUGGUUCAUGACUGGGGUGAAGUCGUAACAAGGUAGCCGUAGGGGAACCUGCGGCUGGAUCACCUCCUU
Molecule: ribosomal RNA, 448 nt
Filed under: uncultured Gammaproteobacteria bacterium
Lineage: Bacteria; Pseudomonadati; Pseudomonadota; Gammaproteobacteria
Description: bacterial SSU rRNA
Rfam family: Bacterial small subunit ribosomal RNA
Source: RNAcentral